RNAcentral lists this transfer RNA (71 nucleotides) under Marmota monax (woodchuck). Its description in RNAcentral is "tRNA.Ala". It matches the Rfam family "tRNA". Rfam says of the family: Transfer RNA (tRNA) molecules are approximately 80 nucleotides in length. Their secondary structure includes four short double-helical elements and three loops (D, anti-codon, and T loops). Further hydrogen bonds mediate the characteristic L-shaped molecular structure. tRNAs have two regions of fundamental functional importance: the anti-codon, which is responsible for specific mRNA codon recognition, and the 3' end, to which the tRNAs corresponding amino acid is attached (by aminoacyl-tRNA synthetases). tRNAs cope with the degeneracy of the genetic code in two manners: having more than one tRNA (with a specific anti-codon) for a particular amino acid; and 'wobble' base-pairing, i.e. permitting non-standard base-pairing at the 3rd anti-codon position. Lineage: Eukaryota; Metazoa; Chordata; Mammalia; Rodentia; Sciuridae. The record is from RNAcentral.
GGGGUUGUAGCUCAGUGGUAGAGUGCUUGCCUAGCACACAUGAGGCACUGGGUUCAAACCUCAGCACCACA